AACAAAAGUGGCUCCAAAUAGGGUGAUAUACCUAGGGUAGGAGUUUGGAGCCGAGAUGUUGAGAUUUUCCGGCGAAGCGUUAUCGCUUUGGGCACCCACGCGCUGCCGGCGCGUGCGGCGGCGCGUGGGCACUGUAGAAAAUUAGCACUGUGUUCCGAUGAGAUCCUUAGGUUGUCACGAGUGCGUAGGAUUUUACGGAUCUCAAUUCGGACAUCGUUUGACUAUCGAACGGAUAAUCGCAUAGUAUGCGUUAUCCGGGUCCGAUAGGUUGGGACCGUCGGAUGGUCCCAAAUUUAAUAUAUGUUAAUCUAGGUAUUUCUAGGAUCGUGUAGGAAUUCACGGAUCCGCAGGUCCGUUUGACCAGGGUUAGAGUAGUUUGACCCUUGGUUGACUGUGAGCCACCCGGAGUAAUCUCACCUCUCCAGGGGAGAUUAUCGGGUGCUAGAUGAUUGUGGAGGGUGACACAAUAUUAGGAUUAAUUUAUAUAAAUAUAAUUAUAUGUGGUUGUACAAGGGUACAACAGAGUCUAGAAUGUCAGUUUGGAGUGCUAUACGCACUACCGUAGGUACCUCCUCGGACGUUGGAUUCACUACAAGUACCACCAAGAGAAAGUGAGGUCGCACGUGGCGUAGGUUAUCCGGCGUGUCGACAGACCCCAUACGUGGCGUUGGUUGUACCGGCGUAUGCGGAGCUAUGUAAUAUGAUGUUCAGGUCUCACGUGGCGUAGGUUAUUCGGCGUUGAGACAGACCCCAUAUGUGGCGUUGGUUGUACCGGCGUAUGGGGAGCUAUGUAAUAAUGUGUUGAGGUCGCACGUGGCGUAGGUUAUCCGGCGUGUCGACAGACCCCAUACGUGGCGUUGGUUGUACCGGCGUAUGGGGAGAUUUGUGAUAUGAUAUUGAGGUCCCGCGUGGCGUAGGUUAUCCGGCGUUGGGACAGGCCCCAUACGUGGCGUUGGUUGUACCGGCGUAUGGGGAGAUUAUAUGAAAUACAAAGAAAUGAAAUAAGGUAUCGCUCAAGUAGGGAAUUGAGUUUUAGGGAAGAACUACGUGUGGCUUGAUCCCUCAAGGAGGGUACGUAGGCAGCCUGAGGUUAUUAGGUGCAGCCGCAGACUAAAUAUUAGUCAUAAAUUGUAAUUGAAUUGUUUGGUAGUUGUUUGAGAAUUUUGGAAGGCCGAAGGCCAUUUAUGAGAAUUUGCAUGAGAUUAUAUUGUGCAUGCUGCCCGUUGGUGAUAUUAAAUGCGUUUUCAUGCAGGUAUAAAUUUUGGGAAACGUCCAAUUUACAGGGGAGACUCUGCCGAAAUUUUGGCAGGAUUUCGGCAGGAAGUCUCGGUUUCAGUGAGUGGGCCUGACAUCGGGGUGAUGUCAGGAAUCCCCAAAGGGUUCGUCUCGAAUUUUGAGAAAAUUCGGGGCGGGUCCUUAACGUUGGUAUCAGAGCUCUAGGUUCAAUUCCCUGUGGACCCUACACUUUAUGUGCAUCCUUAAAUUGUGGGGAUCAAAAUGGGUACCAUCUCGGAAUGGCACAUUUGCGACGUUGAGGACGUCACAAAAGUCAAAUUAUUUCACAAAGGAAAGGUACAUAGGCCACCGGAGCAUAAGUAGAGCUGGAGCUUUACCACAGACAGUGGUUGUUUCAGAAGUUCCGGAAGAUGGCGAGUAGAAGCCGAAAGUUUGCAUAGGGUAACACCUGUACGUAUGGUACAGUUGGAUGUCCCUAUGAUAAAGUUGUCCGUUGGGUUCGCAUAAGCGGGAGGUAGGGAGUGGAUCCACCUACUUCUAGGGAUCCUCCAUUGCCUGAACAUGUUGCUAAUUUUCGAUUGUGUGCCUAGAGCACCGAGUCGAAGAUCCUAAGAGCAUAACCUCUCUCUGGGACGAGCAACUCCCCGACAUUGGAUCAAGGGAUCCAGGGUCUGAAGGGUGGUGUUGGUAUAAUCGAAAUCACAAGUGUCUCUUACAGAAAGAGGCUCGUGUGUGGUGAGAAUACUAUGGUCAAGUCUAAGGACGAGACCCAGAUGGAUGGAGAGAGUCCUUUGGGGUCUCAUCUCACGUGAGCACGUUUGAGUAGAGAUCUUUCAUCGGAAUCAGAAAUGGAUCAUGGUCGAGAGAGAUCGAUGAUGAUUACAAUUCGGUAAAAAUGAUCAUUUCUGACUUUUCUCUCAACGAAUCGUGUUAGCAAAGUAAAGGGAGAAGUAGUGGAGUUGGGUGUAACCGUACUUCAUUUGCGUGGGCUUGAAUGCCGCGAUUGACAGGAGUGGAACAUUAGGGUUCUUCUUCUUCCUUGCUCUCUCACGUGAGCUCGCCAUAGUUAGAGAAGGAGACUUUUCUUUCUCUGCUUGCUUAGCUAGAGCUUUUGGCUUGGUUGCCAACACGGUUGUGGAGAAAGAACUUGGGAACCCGAGUGGUAGAUGCGGGCCCCAUGCUCACAACCCUUCGAAUGACAAGGUAGGAAAUUUCGGGGACGAAAUUUUUAUAAGGGGGGUAGUCUGUAACACCCCGACCCCAAAUUUCCCCAAAUUUUACCCUCAUUUAAUUAUUUAAUUAUUUAAGGAUAUUUUAGUCAUAUUUUUAACCGGAGAGAGUUUGGGACCGCGACUUACAUUUUUGGAUAGGUCGUACUGAGAAGAGUUCAUAGACACGUAGUGGGCUCGAAUCGGAGUUGUAACGAGAGAGAUAUGGUCAAAAGAAACCCAGUGGCACAAUCGUAAAUAUUUCGAAAUGGGAUUUUUUAUAAAAAAAACCUGGUUUCUCUCUCUCUCUCUCUCUCUCUCUCUCUCUCUCUCUCUCUCUCUCUCUCUCUCCCGCGAGCAGCCCCUCCCCUCCCGUUUUUUUCUGCACAGCUGGUGGCUCCAAGAGCCACCACAGCCGCCACCAGCCACCGAUUGGGGUGGUACCGGUCCCAAAAGAACCGCCAGCUCCUCCUCCUUCCAUCCCGCUCCAUCCCCGACCUCGGCAGCCGCUGGUGUCGCCGGAAUCUGCCGGAAAACGAGCUGGUUUUCACAGAUUUUCAAACCGCUCGUUCUCCCUCAUUUCUUCUCCAAAUUUGACGAGUAAGGUAUGGAUUUCUACCUAUUUUUCAUGCUCUAGCUGAUGGUUGGAUAGGAUUUCGUUAAUUUUGAGCCUAGGAUAGCUGAUCUUCAAUUUGAAAUUCUGCCGAUUUUGAGAGUUUGUUUUCGGCCACUUCCAGUCACUUUUUGGGGUAGGUCCAAGAACAAAAGUGGCUCCAAAUAGGGUGAUAUACCUAGGGUAGGAGUUUGGAGCCGAGAUGUUGAGAUUUUCCGGCGAAGCGUUAUCGCUUUGGGCACCCACGCGCUGCCGGCGCGUGCGGCGGCGCGUGGGCACUGUAGAAAAUUAGCACUGUGUUCCGAUGAGAUCCUUAGGUUGUCACGAGUGCGUAGGAUUUUGCGGAUCUCAAUUCGGACAUCGUUUGACUAUCGAACGGAUAAUUGCAUAGUAUGCGUUAUCCGGGUCCGAUAGGUUGGGACCGUCGGAUGGUCCCAAAUUUAAUAUAUGUUAAUCUAGGUAUUUCUUGGAUCGUGUAGGAAUUCACGGAUCGUGAAUCGGAGCCCCGGAUGUUCCGAAUAAUAAUUUAAAGUUUAUAUUUUAUAUUAACC
Molecule: long non-coding RNA, 3608 nt
Filed under: Prunus persica (peach)
Lineage: Eukaryota; Viridiplantae; Streptophyta; Magnoliopsida; Rosales; Rosaceae
Description: long non-coding RNA (PPER_LNC008350)
Source: RNAcentral